UUGGAUUUGUUGUUAACAUUA
This is a non-coding RNA of Caenorhabditis elegans, 21 nucleotides long. The record is from Ensembl. Lineage: Eukaryota; Metazoa; Nematoda; Chromadorea; Rhabditida; Rhabditidae.